This 274-nucleotide ribosomal RNA is filed under the name uncultured bacterium. Its description in RNAcentral is "partial 16S ribosomal RNA". It matches the Rfam family "Bacterial small subunit ribosomal RNA", at positions 523 to 796 of the family's 1533-position model. The record is from RNAcentral.
AUACGGAGGAUCCAAGCGUUAUCCGGAAUCAUUGGGUUUAAAGGGUCCGUAGGUGGAUAAUUAAGUCAGAGGUGAAAUCCUGCAGCUCAACUGUAGAAUUGCCUUUGAAACUGGUUAUCUUGAGUUAUUAUGAAGUAGUUAGAAUAUGUAGUGUAGCGGUGAAAUGCAUAGAUAUUACAUAGAAUACCGAUUGCGAAGGCAGAUUACUAAUAAUAUACUGACACUGAGGGACGAAAGCGUGGGGAGCGAACAGGAUUAGAUACCCUAGUAGUCC